ACACUUGAGAUAAAUUCUAACUGUAACGUAUGUGUUAAAUGGGUUAGUCAAUGUUACACAUCGGAACACACACUGGAGAUAAAUUCUAAUUGUAACGUAUGUGUUAAAUGGGUUAGUCAAUGUUACACAUUGGAACACACACUUGAGAUAAAUUAUAAAUAUAACGUGAGUGGUAAAUGGGUAGGUCAAUGUUACACAUCGGAACACACACUUGAGAUAUAUUAUAAAUGAAAUGUGUGUGGUGUUACAUCCUGG
RNAcentral lists this long non-coding RNA (255 nucleotides) under Mytilus galloprovincialis (Mediterranean mussel). Lineage: Eukaryota; Metazoa; Mollusca; Bivalvia; Mytilida; Mytilidae. The record is from RNAcentral.